Long non-coding RNA from Pungitius pungitius (ninespine stickleback), 728 nucleotides. RefSeq lists it as uncharacterized. The record is from RefSeq and is a predicted model, not a curated record. Lineage: Eukaryota; Metazoa; Chordata; Actinopteri; Perciformes; Gasterosteidae. The transcript has 3 exons.
GCUCGUCCUCCUAAAGGUCCUGCAAUAGAAAGCCGUUCAUUUGCAAAUAGCAACACAGAGCCAGCACAGCUAACAUGUCGGACAAGAAACAGACAGUGGACCUGGGCCUACUGGAGGAGGAUGAUGAGUUCGAAGAAUUCCCAGCCGAGGACUGGACGGGGCUGGAUGAAGAUGAAGACGCUCAUGUUUGGGAGGACAACUGGGAUGAUGACAACGUAGAGGAUGAUUUUUCCAAUCAACUGAGAGCUGAGCUGGAAAAACAUGGUUACAAGAUGGAGACGUCCUAGCGGCUAACGAAGCCUUUCAGUACUGGAUGACAUUCGAUAUGGACAUUUAUAUUUGAAUAUUACUGGUUGACCACACGCCACUGCAAACUAACUGAGGAUGGUAUUUUGUUUUGUGGGGGUUUUGUUUUUCUAAGAAAAAUUGAUGGAAGUAAAAUGUUUGGAGAAAACCGUUUCUGAGUGUUUUGCUUACGGACUGUACUGCAUUUAGGAGAGUUCAACUUAAUAACUUAAUAAUAUUACAUUGGAUGUAGAGUCUAGUCGUAUUUUUUUCUUUUUGAAAAAGUUAUAUUGGUAAAUUAAUCAUAUUUGCUCCCAUACCUUCAAUGGGAAUAUUAAACUGAUGCCAAAAUGAUCAUUACCAGAAAUGUAGCCUGCAUGCUUCCAUUUCAUCUUGUCCUUGUGUUGCUCUUAUUCUUUGCAUAAACUAAAUGCACCUUUGCA